Acanthochromis polyacanthus (spiny chromis) is the source of this 530-nucleotide long non-coding RNA. RefSeq lists it as uncharacterized. The record is from RefSeq and is a predicted model, not a curated record. The transcript has 3 exons. NCBI's taxonomy places the organism in Eukaryota, Metazoa, Chordata, Actinopteri, Pomacentridae.
AGACAAAGAAGUGGCGAGUGCAAGGACGGUUGUAUCCCAGUACGUCCUCGAGUGCUGACAGCGGUCUCCAUAGUACCAAUAGUCUUCUCCCACGGCACAUCUGGAAAGGGAGGGAAAAUAUGAUGAACAGGAGAAAGUAAAUUCCGAGCUGGAAGAGUGCUACAGGAGAACCACAGAUGACCAGAAGCUGGCACUGAGCUCACCGACCACAAGCUCCAAACAAGUGAGCAGGAAGAUGGCGUCUCCUCCCUUAAUGAAAUCUCUGCUUUUGGCUCUGAGGUGGGUGAGAUACACAGCGGUACCGUAGCCUGGCCCUCGGAAAUACUUUGAUCCAUCUGUGUCCGUGACCUCACCUCCAACCUUGCGAGGAUCAUCCCAGAAAAACUGGUCAGAGCCUGUUUAAAAGAAUGUGGGGGAAAAAAAGUGUCUGAAUACAGUAUUGCAGCAAAAACAGUCACUUCAUGAUAUCUUUCUAAGUCGUGAACAAUUGUUUUGAGUCUUUUUGACAGUGAAAGUAGCAGCACCUGAUG